ACGCUGGCAGUGCGUCUUAAGCAUGCAAGUCAAACGGGAUGUAGCAAUACAUCUAGUGGCGAACGGGUGAGUAACGCGUGGAUGAUCUACCUACGAGAUGGGGAUAACUAUUAGAAAUAGUAGCUAAUACCGAAUAAAGUCAAUUAAUUUGUUAAUUGAUGAAAGGAAGCCUUUAAAGCUUCGCUUGUAGAUGAGUCUGCGUCUUAUUAGCUAGUUGGUAGGGUAAAUGCCUACCAAGGCGAUGAUAAGUAACCGGCCUGAGAGGGUGAACGGUCACACUGGAACUGAGAUACGGUCCAGACUCCUACGGGAGGCAGCAGCUAAGAAUCUUCCGCAAUGGGCGAAAGCCUGACGGAGCGACACUGCGUGAAUGAAGAAGGUCGAAAGAUUGUAAAAUUCUUUUAUAAAUGAGGAAUAAGCUUUGUAGGAAAUGACAAAGUGAUGACGUUAAUUUAUGAAUAAGCCCCGGCUAAUUACGUGCCAGCAGCCGCGGUAAUACGUAAGGGGCGAGCGUUGUUCGGGAUUAUUGGGCGUAAAGGGUGAGUAGGCGGAUAUAUAAGUCUAUGCAUAAAAUACCACAGCUCAACUGUGGAACUAUGUUGGAAACUAUAUGUCUAGAGUCUGAUAGAGGAAGUUAGAAUUUCUGGUGUAAGGGUGGAAUCUGUUGAUAUCAGAAAGAAUACCGGAGGCGAAGGCGAACUUCUGGGUCAAGACUGACGCUGAGUCACGAAAGCGUAGGGAGCAAACAGGAUUAGAUACCCUGGUAGUCUACGCUGUAAACGAUGCACACUUGGUGUUAACUAAAAGGUUAGUACCGAAG
Molecule: ribosomal RNA, 820 nt
Filed under: Borreliella garinii
Lineage: Bacteria; Pseudomonadati; Spirochaetota; Spirochaetia; Spirochaetales; Borreliaceae
Description: bacterial SSU rRNA
Rfam family: Bacterial small subunit ribosomal RNA
Source: RNAcentral